UACGAAGGGGGCUAGCGUUGCUCGGAAUCACUGGGCUUAAAGCGUGUGUAGGCGGACUUCUAAGUACCUUGUGAAAUCCCACGGCUCAACCGUGGAACUGCUUGGUAUACUGGUUGUCUUGGGCCAUCUAGGGGCUAGCGGAACAAACGGUGGAGCGGUGAAAUGCGCAGAUAUCAGGAGGAACACCAAUGGCGAAGGCAGCUCGCUGGGACGUGACUGACGCUGAGACGCGAAAGCGUGGGGAGCAAACAGG
RNAcentral lists this ribosomal RNA (253 nucleotides) under uncultured bacterium. RNAcentral describes it as "partial 16S ribosomal RNA". It matches the Rfam family "Bacterial small subunit ribosomal RNA", at positions 524 to 776 of the family's 1533-position model. The record is from RNAcentral.